Long non-coding RNA from Varanus komodoensis (Komodo dragon), 3366 nucleotides. RefSeq lists it as uncharacterized. Lineage: Eukaryota; Metazoa; Chordata; Lepidosauria; Squamata; Varanidae. The record is from RefSeq and is a predicted model, not a curated record. The transcript has 4 exons.
CUCCUCUUCCAUUUUUCCUUUUAUGAUGUGUCUUUGAGACUGUCUUCUUUUCAUUUGAUCUUAUGUAAGCAGUUCUGGCAGCCCCAAAGAGCAGGGUGCAGCCAAGAACGCUUUAAGCAAACCACGUGGCUUAUUGCUAUCUUGCGGCUUCAAACUCUUUUCCAGAGGCAGGCCCUGGGCCAGUUACCAGGCGAGCCGAUGAAAAAGAGCACAAGAUUGCAAAGGAUGGCCGCCUUCCAGCUGCGUGCAAUUCGAGGCCUCGCUGAUGUCCACCAAGCACGUGCCCCUUCUUUCUGUGGGCAAACCGCGUCGAAGGCAUGUCCGCAGCGAUUCAUCCCCGGCUGGAGCAUCUCUCUGCCCUGAUCUGUGCCUUCGAGGAAAGGACUGCAGUCCAGCUGUGACACACCUGCCUGCCUGAAGGCCCCAGGGUCAAGUUCGCACGUCUCCAGUUAGGAUCUUGGGUGUCUUCCAGGACUGGCCUUCCCAGGUAGGAAGGUGAAGAAUCUGGCUCAGGCUCUGAAGAGCAGGGAGAUUUUUCUGCAUGAAGAACUUGGUAUAUUAAGAGAAGAAGAAAGCAAAACUCUGGUGUUCAAGGAAACAGCCCUCACUUGGAAGGAAUGCCAAAGGCGAAUCCGUCUGUGGAAGGUGCUCUCCAUCCAAAGGACUGUGAAUGCCGAACCUGAUCUAAAGGUUUCAUACAGGGAUUAUCUCAUUUCUGCUCUCCCUAAAGUGCUCUGGAAGCCUUCACUGAAGAGCACGGUAAGAUCACUUCCAAAAAGAAAUGAUAAUUUAACAUAUGCAAAUGUCAUCAAAUCCAUAACCCCCUUGGUCCGCUUUUUGACAAUGCAGAAAAGCAGAGUAGAAUAGACAAUGCAGGGUAGUCUUUUUAUGCUGUGCAAGUGACGACUCUCCUCUUCCGUGGCGCAUGUGACCCAAUCAGGCUAAACAUUGUUCUUGACCAAACACAACCCUUUGUAGGAUGCUAUUUCAGAGACUUCAGCUGGGCAAGCAACCAAAUCAAUCGAGGAAACCCAGAGCUUGGGGUUCAAGAGAUGCAAGGAUUAUGCGGCACACAGAAAAUUAGAUGGGGCGGCAAUUCUUUAAAAAUAAAGCCGGAGUUUAAGAAGACUUCUGGAAGGGAUGACACAACCUCCCCCGUAAUAACAGGGAAAUUAAUGGCAGAAAUACACCCACUGCCUGCUAAUUACAUGCGCCUCGAAGUUGCUAAUGGCUCUGUUAGUGAAGGGCUGCUCUGAGGAAAAGGAGGACUCAUCAACCCCAAUGCCUGCAGAGUUUUCAUUAAUGCAUGUGCUCCUUCUCGCGACAUUUACGUGUUCUGCACGUUCUACGUCGGAAGCCUUAACCACUGAGGAGAAGCUGUCGGACAAGCAAUGUUUGACAAAUUUGCUCUUUGGGUAUUCCUAUAUGACUUUUUAUCUUAUUUUUUAAAAUCGUAUCUCUUACAGCUCCAUCCCUCCUGACAGACAUUGCUCUCAGGCCGGUUCGCAACAAUUAAAACCAUAAAACAUGCUUCAAGACACAAUAUAGAAGUUUAAAGGUUUACAGCUACAGGAUGUAACAGAAACAUGAGCCCAAAACAAAAUGAGAAGCAAGGCAGGGAUUUAAAAUACAGCGGGGACACUAUCCUACCGGAAUGUCUGGCUGGCACUUUGUGAACCGAGAGAAUUACAUGCCUCCUACGCUCGACGGGGAGAUUACAGAGCCGAAGGAUGCCAACGCAUACCUCCUGCCACGCAAAAUAACCAGGGGGCACUCUGGAGAUGAUGAGAGAUGGUGGGCGCUGGAAUUUUGGAGCCCCAGCUCAGAGAUCCUGCGAAUUUGGAGCUAGGCUCCUGAAAGCCAAACCCCACCGGCCUUUUUUGGACCCCACAAGCAUGAAAAGAACUUUGUUUGCCUGUCUCGAGCCGCAAAGGCAUCUUGGAGGGGAGGGAAAGGGGACUGCCAGAGACUGGAGCAUGGAUGCCGGUUUCUAUCAGUGCUCGUAUCUCCUUUUUCUCCCCUCCCCGGAGCUUCAUGGAGAUGCUAAAGAUGGCAUGUAUGUAAGAAUCAGGGCAUGAAGAACAGCAAAGGCUGGGAUGCACAUUGGACCGCAAGUUUGGGGGUUUCUGUGCAGCCAGACCGGGGGCGAAGAGAGCCAGCUGUUGCUUCGAGGUGGCCUGCACAGAAAUGCCCAGGGUGCAGGAGAGCCAGUGAAAUCUGCAAACCUGAGCUGCUGCUGCAAGCGCCAUCCAAGGCACCGAGAUGGAAAGUUUGGAGAGGAGAUUAAUUGUCUCUCCCUUGCAGCUCUUCAGGUUGGCCAAGGGCCCGUCUGUGGUGACAUUUCGUGAGUCAGGCAUGAUGGAUGGGGACCUGUGGAUGGAAGGGUUACCUUGAGCCUUUCCCAAACACACACACACACACACACCACACAGAGAGACAGACAAAGAAAUGGAGCUGGGCUAGGACCAAGAGCAGGAAUGAAUAAUGUCAUUUUAAAUGCUACUCAAAAGCCAGCCGUUCCAGGCCGAAAUGUAAACUGUGGAGGAGAAAUGUACAAAAGGCACCCGGCCUGUUUAAUUUAGAAUCAUAAUAAUCCAGACUCUUGGUAAUGCAGAAGAAAUGCACCUGUCAAGGGGAAAAAUUGGAUCCAUUUGGACUGUCUGCCUUCAUCUCGCUUUCAGCCUGGCGUGAUGCCAUCGGUGAGGUAGAGACAACUGUUUUUCCACACUGGUCCUUUUUAGUAAUGCUGCAUCAGUUCAGAGGGAGACAGAGGAGGGAAUGUGCUUGUGGAACUCAUGACCACUUGAGGAACUGAGCCCAGGUUCUGAAAAAAGGGUUUAGAUCCAUUCAGAAAGGGCACUGGGAGAUUGCCACAGUCCGACAGUCUCUUAACAAUGCUAGGUGGCCACACAUUUGUUCAGAUGUGCUCUGACCUCAGAGCUGGGCAUCUGCACCGGGUUCCCCCACUUUGCAGCAGGAACUGCAGUGGCUAAUUUUCUGAAGCUUCCUGAGCAACCUCAGACAAGAUAUUAUGCCAGGCCAGGCAUGAAAAGGCAGAAUAAGGCUCUUCCAUGUGUAGGUAUCAUGGAAUCAUUGGAGUCCCUUUUUCGAAUUUGUUUCUUUUGUGGCACAGUUGGGAAAUUUACUGAUUCCAUUAAAUUAUAGAAAUGAAAUCCCCGAGACUCUUGAAUAGACCAGAACCAGUACCGAGGAGCUGAAUGGCCACCUUAAAUGAGUUUGAGCCGAAGGUGUCUUGAGUGACUUAAUAAUCAUUCUGUUUCAUGUCAUUGAUUAUAUUUUUAUAUUGCCCAAGAGCUGAAGGGAAGUCUACAAAGAUGAUCGCUAUUAAAAUGCAUGUAAAAACCA